CACGCAUGACACACUGCAUAUCAAUAAGCGGAGGAAAAGAAACUAACAAGGAUUCCCUUAGUAACGGCGAGUGAAGCGGGAAGAGCUCAAAUUUGAAAUCUUCAAGGUUCUACCUUGACGAAUUGUAGUUUAUAGAAGUGUUUUCUGUUAGUAGAGUGGCAAAAGUUCUUUGGAAUAGGACAUCAUAGAGGGUGAGAAUCCCGUAUUUGGUCAUUCUUUCUAGCUUUGUGAUACACUUUCAACGAGUCGGAUUGUUUGGGAAUGCAGUCCAAAAUGGGUGGUAAAUUUCAUCUAAAGCUAAAUAUUGGCGAGAGACCGAUAGCGAACAAGUACCGUGAGGGAAAGAUGAAAAGAACUUUGAAAAGAGAGUUAAACAGUACGUGAAAUUGUCAAAAGGGAAGCGUUUGACACCAGUGUUGUUUUUCCGAAAAUCAAUUACGAAUGUUUUAUUUUUGAGGAGUUAUGACUUCAUCGGCUUGCUUCUCUCUUUAUGAAACUUUCUUAAUGCACUUUUCGGUUAACAAGUCAACAUCAAUUUCUUUUGUUGUAAAAGGGUAUGAGGAAGGUGGCUUUCUUUUCGGAGAAAGUGUUUAUAGCCUUGUACCUCUGCAAUCGGAGAGAUUGAGGUCUGCAGCGUAGAUCCUUCGGGGUUAGAUACAUUUGUGCUAAGUUAUAGCUUUUCAUAGACAACUUGUUGACUAUGUUAAGUCUUGUAGCUUACUCGCUGACGCUAUUUUACCUACGCUUAGGAUGUUGAUCUACAGAGCGAGAGU
Molecule: ribosomal RNA, 773 nt
Filed under: uncultured Neocallimastigales
Lineage: Eukaryota; Fungi; Neocallimastigomycota; Neocallimastigomycetes; Neocallimastigales
Description: partial large subunit ribosomal RNA
Rfam family: Eukaryotic large subunit ribosomal RNA
Source: RNAcentral